AUGCAAGCCAACAGCUGCCACGUGGAUUGAGACCUAGACCCAGCCCUCCUGCUCCCCCGGUGCCCCGGGGCGCCCCUCACUCACUCCGUAGGGCGCAGAGCAACACGCUGCGAGCCUCGGAGCCCUCCCGCCGGCUUCAGCCAGGGGAGGGGGCUCCCGCUCCGGCAGGAAGUCCGGCGGCCGCUGACUUUAUAAGGGCAGUGGCAGCGGACCGGCUGGCGGGUGUGUUUACCAGAAGGGAAAGAGCCCGAGCUCCCCCCGCUGCCGCCGCGGCGCGGGUGUGUGGAGCGGCCAGAAGGGUGAGACCGAGCAAAACAGAGAGGAGCGGGUCAAGGAAGGGCAAGAGGGAGGAAAGCAUGAAUCCGUUCUCCGGGGAAGGCGAGGAGGGGGGCCCUCAGUGCCCUCGUCUGUGAAAUGGGGCUUUGGAUUCAGACACUCCCUCAGGUCGGUUGGACACCCCCAAGAGCGUCGUUCUGAACAGAGAAGUGCGGCCAGAGGGGGCCGAGAGGAAGAGGGGAGUCGGAGGGAGCAGAGCAGUGUAAAGGGGAGGAAGGACGCGCGUGGAGACUGGACAAGGCGCUGCGGGACCCAAGGGCUCAGGUAACGGGUUUUUUUUGUAGAGCCUAGGAGUGUCGGUGGCAGCGGACCCAGGUGGCUCCCGGCGCAUGUGCAGCCCGGGACCCCGACCCCCACCCUCUGCUCACCUUGGGUGGGGGGCAGACGCCCCUCCUGCAGCCGCGGACGCCUCUGGGAGCGCAGCGCCUGGGCGGCGCGUCCACACUCUCUGUGUCCCCUGUCGGGCGGGCCCAGCCUUAACCAGCACCCGCGCUCAGCACUUUGCUGCGCGCCGGAUCCCGGCAGCCUUGGAGGUUCAGCCCGACAGCUUGGUGAUAUUCUCGUCCACUGUCACCCCUUCGGAACACGUCCGGGAGCUGGGGACCCUCCGGGCGACACCAGUCCCCGAAGCAAGACAGGCACGAAGUGGACCUACGGCGUUGAUAGUUGUAUUUAUACCCGUCCGGAGCUGCACCCCGAGACAAAUCAGGCAGCACCCUCUGUAUCCUUGAUGAAAACAACCAGAUUGGGCUGCAGCAGACAGAUCGCGACAAAAGGCAAGCUUGGGUGGGGUUUUAAACUGUCCAGUUGGGAGCAAUGUUUUUUAAGAGGCAGAAGGACACAGGUUUCUUAGGAGUUUGUCAAAUAGGGGUCUGAGUCUUGCUUUUCAAAUUGACUGGCCCGGGUUACCUCGGGCAACUUGCUUUACUUCUUUGGGCCUCGGGUUUCUCCUCUGUAAACUCGAAUAACAAUAUAGUAGUACCUGCCUACCUGUGGGGAUGUGGGGUGGAAUUGGGUGUUACGCUACUGGUAAAAUGCUCUGCAUGGCACCUGGUACCUAGUAAGCUUAGUAAAUGUUCAUUAUCGUUGCAGCUGUCAUUAUAAUUUUUUCAGAAGACCUGGUGGUGGGGAGCUUCUAGACACUUAUUAACUGAUUGAUUACUGGUACAUUUCUCCACUUCCUGGGGGCUGUUUCCUCAUCUGUGAAAGAGGGGAGGUGUCAUUACGUGGACUGGGGUGUGGAUUAAUAAGAUGACAAAGGCAAAUCGAUAGAGAGGUGAGUUUAAAAGAGCGUGUGGAAAGCAAUGUUAGUGAUACGGUAGCCACAGUGCUCUGGGCGUGUGAGCAACUGCCCGGGAAGUUCCAAGAGGACAUCAAACAAGAGGGCAUCUAUGAACAGGUGAGCCACCAAGCCAAGAGAAGAACUGAAAUUUGCUGAGUGGCUACUAUAUGCUGGGCACUUUCCAAACAAAAAUUAUCAUUAAAUCCUCAAAACAUCAUGGUCUCAUUUAAACCUCACAACUUUUCAGAGGGAAAAGACAGGCAGCUAGCAGCUGGAACACGGUGGGUGGAGGCAGGAUGCAAACUCAGAUCUGCCUGCCGUUUACGUGUGGCCCUUUCCAUUCUUCCAGGUCCAGAGUGAAGGUAUAGCAGUGGAAAAGGCACAAGGAGUUCUCUCUGACAAGAGCACAGUGUCAGGCUGUGAUGGUUUCACUUCUUAAAUUUCACACUAUCUCCCAGAAUUUCCAGAUCAAGGUCAAAAUCCUUAGCUUAGCACAAGGGGUCCUAGAGUAAGGGAUCUAACCCAAGAUGGUCACGGAUCCCUUUGAAAAUAUAAUAAAGUGCUAUGCUUCCACUCCCUGUGAAAACGCAUGUGUGAACACUCACACACACACACACACACAUUGAAAUUUCAGAGUUAGUGUGGACACCCUCCACAGGCGCCAGGGGUCCAGGGACCUCCACGGCUGUAAUGCUUGGCCUUCCUCAUCCCCAACCCUUAUUUCCAUGUUUUCCCUUCCUGAACUAUCAGCUCCCUGAGGGCAAGGGCCUGGUCUAUUGUGUUCACUGCUGUAUCUCCAGCACCUAGAACAGCCCUUGGUACCGAAGAGGUAUUCAGGAAUCACCUGUGGAAGGAAGUGUGGAGCCAGCUGCUUUUGCACCUCUUCCUUCUUAUGGGGUGACAG
Molecule: long non-coding RNA, 2522 nt
Filed under: Rhinolophus ferrumequinum (greater horseshoe bat)
Lineage: Eukaryota; Metazoa; Chordata; Mammalia; Chiroptera; Rhinolophidae
Description: lncRNA (ENSRFEG00010004054.1)
Source: RNAcentral